This 519-nucleotide ribosomal RNA is filed under the name Halomonas sp. RNAcentral describes it as "bacterial SSU rRNA". It matches the Rfam family "Bacterial small subunit ribosomal RNA", at positions 840 to 1358 of the family's 1533-position model. The record is from RNAcentral. Lineage: Bacteria; Pseudomonadati; Pseudomonadota; Gammaproteobacteria; Oceanospirillales; Halomonadaceae.
UUUGUGGCGAAGUUAACGCGAUAAGUCGACCGCCUGGGGAGUACGGCCGCAAGGUUAAAACUCAAAUGAAUUGACGGGGGCCCGCACAAGCGGUGGAGCAUGUGGUUUAAUUCGAUGCAACGCGAAGAACCUUACCUACCCUUGACAUCUACAGAAGCCGGAAGAGAUUCGGGUGUGCCUUCGGGAACUGUAAGACAGGUGCUGCAUGGCUGUCGUCAGCUCGUGUUGUGAAAUGUUGGGUUAAGUCCCGUAACGAGCGCAACCCUUGUCCUUAUUUGCCAGCACGUAAUGGUGGGAACUCUAAGGAGACUGCCGGUGACAAACCGGAGGAAGGUGGGGAAGACGUCAAGUCAUCAUGGCCCUUACGGGUAGGGCUACACACGUGCUACAAUGGCCGGUACAAAGGGCGGCGAGCUCGCGAGAGUCAGAGAAUCCCUUAAAGCCGGUCUCAGUCCGGAUCGGAGUCUGCAACUCGACUCCGUGAAGUCGGAAUCGCUAGUAAUCGUGAAUCAGAAUGUC